GAGCUACAGAGGUUUAAGCAAAAGCAAAAAUGGGGAAGAAACGAGAACGCCUCACAAAUCCAGAACCCUUCCUUGACGAUGAUUCAAAAUCCAAAGCUUCCUCGAAGAAACGCUCCAAAGCUCCUAAAUCUCACCAGCAGCAACAACAGGUUAUAUCGUCUAGUAUUAGUUCGAAGAUAUUGAAGGAGGCGUUACUUCAGCAGAAGGAAGUAGAUGAGGAGGAGACACGAGAGAGAAAUCCUAAUGCUAUAGUGUUUUCGGAGGAUGUUGCAACUAGAGCUGUUGAGGAGGAUGACGAUGACAUUGAUAAUUUUAGUGGGUUUCAGGAGACUCAAAGUCAAUUUGGUGAUUUGGAGGAUGAGGUUGACAAGUUGCUAUUGGAGGAUGAGAAGCUAUUGGAGGCUUUUUAUUCUACACAAAAUCGCCCUGAACGCACAUUGGGCCAAAUCCUUAUUGAAAAGAGCAAGGAACAGAACGCACAAGUUUCUUCAGUGCAACCAAUGCCUAAAUUGGAUGAAUCGAUCAUUGAAUUAUACAAAGGUGUUGGCAAGCAUCUUAGCAAAUACAAUUCAGGCAAGAUGCCAAAAGCGUUCAAACAUAUUCCUUCAUUGCAAUAUUGGGAAGAUGUUCUAUAUUUAACAGAACCUGAGAAAUGGUCACCAAAUGCAAUGUACCAAGCCACAAGAAUAUUUGCUUCAAAUUUGGGUGUCAAGAAGGCAGAACGCUUCUACAAGUUGGUCUUACUCCCACGAGUUAGAGAUGAUAUUCGCAAGAAUAAGAGAUUGCAUUUUGCUCUGUAUCAGUCCUUGAAGAAAUCUCUUUAUAAGCCUGCUGCCUUUAAUAAGGGAAUCUUGUUUCCUUUGUGUGAGUCAAGGACAUGCACCUUGAGGGAGGCUGUGAUCUUUGGGAGUGUUAUUGAGAAGGUCUCCAUUCCGCAUCUUCAUGCUAGUGUAGCGCUGCUGAAACUUGCAGAGAUGGAGUAUUGUGGCACAACA
RNAcentral lists this unclassified non-coding RNA (995 nucleotides) under Hevea brasiliensis (rubber tree). Lineage: Eukaryota; Viridiplantae; Streptophyta; Magnoliopsida; Malpighiales; Euphorbiaceae. The record is from RNAcentral.